UACGGAGGGUGCAAGCGUUAUCCGGAUUCACUGGGUUUAAAGGGUGCGUAGGUGGGUCUGUAAGUCAGUGGUGAAAUCUCCAAGCUUAACUUGGAAACUGCCGUUGAUACUAUAGACCUUGAAUGCUGUGGAGGUGAGCGGAAUAUGUCAUGUAGCGGUGAAAUGCUUAGAUAUGACAUAGAACACCAAUUGCGAAGGCAGCUCACUACCCAGAUAUUGACUCUGAGGCACGAGAGCGUGGGGAUCAAACAGG
This 253-nucleotide ribosomal RNA is filed under the name uncultured bacterium. RNAcentral describes it as "partial 16S ribosomal RNA". It matches the Rfam family "Bacterial small subunit ribosomal RNA", at positions 524 to 776 of the family's 1533-position model. The record is from RNAcentral.